UUCUUAACUUUCUAAAGAUAUAAGAAGAUUCGCCUUUCAAGCUUCUUUAAAAAAAAUAUAACCAUCUUUUACCUCAUAAAUUGAAUCUUUGUACAAUGAGCUUUUUAACUUGUACCUUGACAUUUUGUAAGGUAAAUCAUUUUCUAAUCUCGCUAUAGUUCACAAAUGAUAUUAUACCAAAUUUCAUAUGUCAGGACCACAAUGUAGUCACAAAUUCGAGAAAUAAAAUGUAGUCAUAAAUUUGAGAACUUGGGCAUGCAUUAGUUGAGUUCGGAAGCACAUCGGGACUCAGGGCUUCUGUUCGGUGGUGGUAUGGUUACGAAUAAAUUUAGGAUUUGUCUCUAAUCGGCGGUUCUGAUGAUGGCGGCGACGGCGGCACGAAAUAAGGUCUCCCAUUCUCGCUCUAUUUUCGAUAGUGCUUCUUUGAAUCAUCGAGAGGCGUGUGGAAUAUGAAAAAAAAGACCCAACACAUCGAGCACCCCCCUUCGACCACCCCGCCUCCCAGCCAUCCUCGGGACAGAACGACACCCGCUCGCAUGACACGCAUGGGAAACAUAUUGUCCUACCAGCGAGCCCCAUUGCUUUUCUUCCUCCCACUCACACUUCACUUCACUCACUCGACUCGUCUCC
This 630-nucleotide long non-coding RNA is filed under the name Hordeum vulgare. RNAcentral's name for it is "long non-coding RNA (HVUL_LNC002498)". Lineage: Eukaryota; Viridiplantae; Streptophyta; Magnoliopsida; Poales; Poaceae. The record is from RNAcentral.